Molecule: ribosomal RNA, 300 nt
Filed under: uncultured Archaeoglobus sp.
Lineage: Archaea; Methanobacteriati; Methanobacteriota; Archaeoglobi; Archaeoglobales; Archaeoglobaceae
Description: bacterial SSU rRNA
Rfam family: Bacterial small subunit ribosomal RNA
Source: RNAcentral
GGGUAGGGCGGGGCCGGCAGCGGCGGUAGUACGAGGGGGGGAAUCGUUGUUCGGAAUUACUGGGCGUAAAGGGGGAGUAGGCGGUGCUCUAAGGCAGGCGUGAAAGCCCUGGGCUCAACCCGGGAAUUGCGCUUGAUACUGGAGCGCUUGAAUCCAGGAGAGGUUGGUGGAAUUCCCAGUGUAGAGGUGAAAUUCGUAGAGAUUGGGAAGAACACCGGUGGCGAAGGCGGCCAACUGGACUGGUAUUGACGCUGAGGCGCGAAAGCGUGGGGAGCAAACAGGAUUAGAUACCCUGUAGUC